CCAAAGGAUUUUUUCAUCUUGCAUAAAAUCCACCAUUAGAUAUUUCAGAUUAAACU
This is a non-coding RNA of Cariama cristata (Red-legged seriema), 56 nucleotides long. The record is from Rfam. Lineage: Eukaryota; Metazoa; Chordata; Aves; Cariamiformes; Cariamidae.